RNAcentral lists this small RNA (681 nucleotides) under uncultured fungus. RNAcentral describes it as "eukaryotic LSU rRNA". The stretch from base 195 to 348 matches the Rfam family "5.8S ribosomal RNA". The record is from RNAcentral. Lineage: Eukaryota; Fungi.
GAUCAUUAUUGUACAACGGAGGUGUGAGGGCUGUCGCUGACCUUCAAAGGUCGUGCACGCCCAAGCACUUUCAUACAAUCCAUCUCACCCCUUUGUGCAUCACCGCGUGGGUCCCCCUUGCGGGAGGGCUCGCGUUUUCACAUAAAACUCGAUACAGUGUAGAAUGUUCUUUUGCGAUCACACGCAAUCAAUACAACUUUCAACAACGGAUCUCUUGGCUCUCGCAUCGAUGAAGAACGCAGCGAAAUGCGAUACGUAAUGUGAAUUGCAGAAUUCAGUGAAUCAUCGAAUCUUUGAACGCACCUUGCGCCCCUUGGCAUUCCGAGGGGCACACCCGUUUGAGUGUCGUGAAAUCCUCAAAAASCCUUUUCCUGUCAGGAAUGGGAUUUUUGGACUUGGAGGUUCAAUGCUUGCCUUUCACUUUUGAAAGUGAGCUCCUCUCAAAUGAAUUAGUGGGGUCCGCUUUGCUGAUCCUUAACGUGAUAAGAUGCUUCUACGUUUUGGAUCUAGCACUGUCCCUUGGAYGCCUGCUCCUAACUGUCCCACACGGACAAUGAUGGUGCUCUGGUCACCGCCAUCUACAUUGGCGGGAGGCUGGACCCACAAAACGAAAACCUUGACCUCAAAUCGGGUGAGACUACCCGCUGAACUUAAGCAUAUCAAUAAGCGGAGGAAAAGAAA